GGGCUGCAGUAUUUUGACUGUACAAAGGUAGCAUAAUCAAUAGUCUCUUAAUUGGUGACUUGUAUGAAAGAUUGGAUGAAAUAUAUACUGUCUCUAAUUAAUUUAUAGAAAUUAAUUUUUUAGUAAAAAAGCUAAAAUAAUUUUAAAAGACGAGAAGACCCUAUAGAGUUUAAUAAUUUAUUUAAUUAUAAUUGUUAUAUAAUUUUUAAAAUUAAAAUUAAAUAAAUUAUUUUGUUGGGGUGAUAGAAAAAUUAAAUUAACUUUUUUUAAUUAUUAACAUUAAUUUAUGAUUAAAUGAUCCAUUAAUAAUGAUUAAAAGAAAAAAUUACCUUAGGGAUAACAGCGUAAUUUUUUUUUUUAGUUCAAAUAGGAAAAAAAGUUUGCGACCUCGAUGUUGGAUUAA
Molecule: ribosomal RNA, 403 nt
Filed under: Papilio helenus hystaspes
Lineage: Eukaryota; Metazoa; Arthropoda; Insecta; Lepidoptera; Papilionidae
Description: partial 16S ribosomal RNA
Source: RNAcentral